RNAcentral lists this long non-coding RNA (6036 nucleotides) under Lynx pardinus (Iberian lynx). The stretch from base 2924 to 3003 matches the Rfam family "tRNA". Lineage: Eukaryota; Metazoa; Chordata; Mammalia; Carnivora; Felidae. The record is from RNAcentral.
CAAUGGAGAUUACUUUCUAGCCCAAAAAGUGCCCAAGAUGUGAGUGAAGCUGUCUUGGAUCCUCCCAAUCGGCCCAUCCACCAGCUGAGUAAUGCUGAGUUGUGCCAUAGUUGAUGCCACAAGGAGCAAGAGGUCGCCAGUUGCUAUCCUGCAGAAUCUGGGAUACGAUUGUUUAAAGCUUCUAAAUUUUGAUAGUGUAUUAGUUAUCCAUUACCAUAUAACAAAUCACUCCAAAAUUUAAUGGUUCAGGACAACAGCAAUCACUUAUUAUCUCACAGUGCCUAUGGAUCAGGAGUUUGGGAGCAAGUUGAUUGGGAAGUUCUAAGUUAGGGUAUCUCAUGAGGUCAGAUGUUGGGCAGAUUCUGUCCCUGCCUGAAGAAGCUUUCAGUCUAGGGGGAGUGAGGAGUAGACAAGUUAAUAGGCAAUCACAACACAUUCGGCUGGUCUGUGGAAUAGGGGUAAAAGCCCCUGAAAAGGGAAAACCUAACCCAGUCUUGAGGGUCAGGAAAAAAUUCCUAAUGAGGUCUAAACAGAGACUUGGCAAUGAGCAGGCAUUAGUCAGUUUGGAGGGUUGGAUGUGAAGGGGGCUGGAACAGAGGGAUGGGCAUGGGCAAAGGCCUAGAGGUAAAGAUGAAAAUGAUGUGUUUUUUGGAGCUGAAAGAAAUUUACAAAUGCUUAGAGAAUAGGUUCCCAGAGAAAGGAGAGGAGCUAGCCAGUAGUCACAGAUCCUCUGAACCAUCUUUCAUGGUGACAAAAGUUCACUCUGGCUACAGUGUGGAGGGGUUGGGAGAGGUCAAGAAGGGGACACGGUCCAGGGUGAACUCCACUGAUCAUACUUCUUUCUUCUGCCUGAGGGCCUCUCACUUAGGUCUAGUUUCUUGUCCAAGACACCGCCUCUGCCUUUUGCAACAUUGCAAUGAUUGGCAAAAAGAAUGACCUCAUCUCUCUGGCUCAAUCUUGCCCAAUCUCUGGAACCUUCUAUGACUCAGGUGAGAUGCUCACCCCCACACCAGGAAGUAGUCUAUGAAACUUUGCCUCCAACAAACAUAUUAAAAGAAUUAGAACAUAGGGAGCAGCACUACCUCACAUCUGGAGAAUGAGGCAGUGUGGAUUCUGACUUCCAUCUUUUAAGAACUGUGUUUGUAUAAUUGUUUUUAGUUGAUUUUUUUUUUUUUUACUGUGGUAAGAAACACAACAUAAGAUCUACUCUCUCACAAAAUUUUAAGUGUAUAUUGUUGUUAACCAUAGGUGCUGUAUUUAGUUGCAGAUCUCUCCAAUUUAUGCAUCUGACAUAACUGAAACUUUAUACCUUUUGAACCGCAAUUACCCAUUUUCCCUCUCCAAAGCCCUUGGCAACCACCAGUCUACUCUCUGCUUCUAUGAGUUUGACUAUUUUAGAUCCCUCAUAUAAGUGUAUUCAUGCAGUAUUUAUCCUUCUGUGUCUGACUUAUUUCACUUAGCAUAAUGUCCUGCAGGCUAUUGUUGCAAGUGGCAGGAUUUUUUUCUUUUUCUAAAGCUAAAUAAUAUUGCAUUGUAUGAAUAUACCAUGUUUUCUUUUUUUUUUUUUUUUAAUUUUUUUUUUUCAACGUUUAUUUAUUUUUGGGACAGAGAGAGACAGAGCACGAACGAGGGAGGGGCAGAGAGAGAGGGAGACACAGAAUCGGAAACAGGCUCCAGGCUCCGAGCCAUCAGCCCAGAGCCCGACGCGGGGCUCGAACUCACGGACCGCGGGAUCGUGACCUGGCUGAAGUCGGACGCUUAACCGACUGCGCCACCCAGGCGCCCCUGUUUUCUUUUUUUUAAUUUAAUUUAAUUUUUUUAAUAUUUAUUUAUUUAUUUAUUAUUAUUAAAAAAAAUUUUUUUAACGUUUAUUUAUUUUUGAGACAGAGAGAGACAGAGCAUGAAUGGGGGAGGGUCAGAGAGAGGGAGACACAGAAUCUGAAACAGGCUCCAGGCUCUGAGCUGUCAGCACAGAGCCUGACGCGGGGCUCGAACUCACGGACCACAAGAUCAUGACCUGAGCCGAAGUCAGGCGCUUAGCCGACUGAGCCACCCAUGCACCCCAAAUACUUAAUUUUUUUUGAGUUUAUNNNNNNNNNNNNNNNNCACCCAGGCACCCCUAUACCAUGUUUUCUUUCUCUAUUCAUCCAUCAAGGGACAUUUAGGUUGUUUCAAUAUUUUGGUUAUUAUGGAUGAUGCUGCAGUGAACAUGGGAAUGUAGAUAACCUCUUUGACAUCCUGAUUUCAAUUCUUUUGGGUAAAUAUUCCAAAAUGGGAUUGCUAGAUCAUGUGGUAGUUCUAUUUUUAAUCUUUUGAAGAACCUCCAUACUGUUUUCCAAAAUUUGAAUAUGCAAUUCAAUAGCUUCCCUGUCUGUUAGAAACAAUGAUUUAGAAUAGACUGUGGGGGCACCUGGGUGGCUCAGUCAGUUAAGUGUCUGACUUUUUAUUUUGGCUCAUAUCAUGAUCACAUCAGGCUCUGCACUGACAUCAUGGAGCCUGCUUGGGAUCCUCUCUCUCUCUCGCUUUGCUUCACUCUCUUUCUGUCGUUCUCUCUCUGCCCCUAUCUCUGUGCCUCUCUCACACUCUCUCAAAAUAAAUAAAUAAACAUUAAAAAAAAAAGAGAGAGAGAGAAUAGACUGUGGGAAAAUGUGCCAUAUAAAAAUAUCACCACAAAAAGAGUUUGAUACAGAUAGUAUGUGUUAAAAACCUAAAUAAUAGUUUUCUUAAAGUUCUCAAAACUUUUGACUUAACAGACUGGAUCAUACCAGGAAUAGAAAAUAUAUAACAUUGGAUAAUAUCAGUAUUAAUCUUUCCAAAUAAAUGUAUAAGUUUAAUGCAGAUCUAUAAAAAAAAUGUUUGCACUACUGUGUAUCAGUAUUAGCAAAUCCAAGAUUGUGUGCUAUAUUUUUAAAUAAAAAGGGGCACCUGGGUGGCUCAGUUGGUUGAGCAUCUGACUUUGGCUCAGAUCAUGAUCUUGCAGUUCAUGAGUUCGAGCCCCACGUUGGGCUCUGUGCUGACAGCUCAGAACCUGGAGCCUCCUUCAGAUUCUGUGUCCCCCUCUCUCUCUGCCCCACCCCUGCUUGUGGUCUGUCUCUCUCUGUCUUUCAAAAAUGAAUGAACAUUAAAAAAAAUUAAAAAAAAAUAAUGAGGUUUUGGGUUACUCUCUAUGUUACAUAUGGUGUUGAGGAAAUACUAAAUAUUUUACCUUUUAUUCAGCACACUGGCUGAGAACAUCAUUGCAAAAGACCACAUUAUAUGCUUCCAUUUAAAUGAUAUGUCCAGAGAAAGCAAAUCUGCGGAGACAGAAAUUGAGAGACUUCAGUUGGGGCUUUACCACAGCAGGGUCACCAGCAGGGGGACCACUUGGAAAGAGAGUUGUUCAAAUGAGGGAUGAGGAGCUGAACAGAGGGCUGCAGAGAGAAUAACCUUUGGUCCCUGGAAUCGAAAGACUCUACUACUGAAUGCACCUGACUUUGGGAAUUGCACAUUGUGAAGUCCGGUGAGACUAAGAGUCAUAGGAUACAGAACCAUGUUUUGUUGAUUCUUAUUUUAAACAUGAAAUUUGGACUAGGACAGUCUAGAGUUUUUCUGAAGCUGCUGACCAGCUGUGAACUUGGAUAAAUGACCUCCUUUCUGUACCUUAAUAUCCUCGUCUGUAAAUGGAGAUAAUAUUUCAUACCUCUCAGGGCUGUUCUGAAGAUUAAACACCUAGUGCAAUUCUUGGCCUAUAGUAGGUUCUCAAUGGAUAUUAGUUCUCCCUCAUACUCCUUCUGAAAUGUUAUUUUAGAGAGAAUUCCAGAAAAUAGGAAAACGUGGAGCUCUUCUGGGUCACAUUUCCCAUGUGGUUGGAGAGGGCUUGCUCCAUGCAAUUUGCAGCUAUAUCUGGUGGGACCCAAAUAUGCAUCUCUAACCCAGCUCCAAACCUGUGUACCCAGCUGCCUACUCAGCAUCAGUUAGAUGUCUCACAGGCACACCAUGCCCCAAACACAUUAUCUCUUACUCCUCCAACUUGCUGAUCCUCAAAGCUGUGAUCCAUAUUGAGUAAAUAGUGUCAGCAUUCACCUAGCUGUUCAAGCCUGAAGACUUGACUCUUUCCUUUUCCUCAAAUCCCAAAUGAAACGAGUCUUCAAGUUCUGACAGUCUAUCUAGUGAUUUGGUACAUUGAACCUAUUCAUUAAUUUUCAUCCAAAAAUAUUUGUUGAGCAGUUACUAUGGACUAGGCAUCAUGUCAGGCUCUGUCUUCACUGCUUCCUCCCUAGUACUGAUCACAAUCUUCUUCUGACUUGACUGAAGAAAUAGCUUCCCUGUUAGUUGCCCUGAAUCAGCUUCUUACCUCUUUGAAUCUUUUCUCCACAUGCUACCAGAGAUUCGUUCCUUUGGCUUAAGACUUUAAAUGGCUUCCCACCUGGCACAGCCAGUAAGACUUUCUAAGAUCCAGGCCCACUAGGCAUAAGUCUGGUUCCCUGAUAUAUGCUCCAGUCAUUGGUGGGGUUCCCCCCAAAACAAAUCCUGAGACAAGGAUUUGAGUGCAAGUGGUUUAUGUGGGGGGUAAUCUCAGGAAGCUGUGGUAGGAAGAUAGAGGAAUGAGGAAGGAAGAAAAAGAAGGCUAUUCAGAGUGCCUUAAUGAAUGGAUUCAUGGGAGGUGGGUGACUGGGGCUCAGUCUCACUGGGAAACUCUGGGAGACAGUAUACACCAUAGCCUGAAUUGUGUUCCCCCAAAUCCAUAUGUUGAAGCCUUCAUCCUCAAUAUGCCUAUAUUUGGAGAUAGGGACAAUAAGGAGAUAAUUAAAAAUUAAGGAGGGCCUAUAAUGAGAUCAUAAGGGUGGGGCCUUGAUGCAGUAGCAUUAGCAUAUUUCUAAGAAGUAACACUAGGGAGCUCCCCUGAGGUCUUUCUUUCUCUUCAUGAGAGAGCACACAAAGAAGAGGUCACGUGAACACACAGUGAUAAAGUGGUCAUCCACAAGCCAGGAAGAGAGGUUUCACCAGAAACCACCCAUGCUGGCACCCUGAUCUCAGCCAUCCAGCCUCCAGAACUGUGAGAAAAUACAUUUCCGUUGUCUAAGCCACGCAGUCUAUGGCAUUUUGUUAUGGCAGCCCAGGCUUAGAUAGUAUAGAACACCCAGAGGGUGAGGGAUCUGCGUAGUUAACUCUCAAGUCUUAUUCACCAUGGGUUGAGGACUGCUCCUGAGGGCACUGAUUCCUUGGCACUGACGGCCUGCACCAUACUAGGGCCGAGCAUGCUCCUGCCUGCUGUGGGCCAGAGAAGCCUUACUCAGCUUGAGAGUCUCUUGCAGGAAGAAGCCUUUGGCUUGCCUGGUGAGUGCUGAGGGGAUGUGAGCAGGGCAGUAGUGGCCUCCACAGCCCCCAGUUUACUUUCCAUCCGUAGCUCUGCUUAUCCUUAAAAUGACUCAUUCAGCCAAUGUGUUAGCUCUGUAAGGCUAUAGACAAUAUCUCUCUGCUUCACAAAUGUAUUGCCAAUGCCUAGCACAGAGCCUGACAAGUAAUAGUUGCUCAAGAGAUAUUUAAUGAAUGUUUGGAUAAGUAAAUAAAUGAUGAUCCUUUUCAGAAAGUAACCCAGGGGGCACCUGGGUGGCUCAGUCAGUUAAGUGUCCGGCUCUUGGUUUUGGCUCGGGUCAUGAUCUCAUGGUUCGUGAGUUCAAGCCCCAUGUCGGGCUCUGCACUGGCAGUGUGGAGCCUGCUUGGGAUUCUUUCUCCUUCUCUUUCUUCCCCUCCCCUGCUCUCUCUCUCUCUCAAAAAAAAUAAACUUAAAAAAAAAUCUUAAAAAAAAAAAAAACCAGAAAGUAAGUAAGGCAUGUCAUGCUCUGUAUCUGACAAAUAAAUUACACAUGGAGCAUAAAACCUCUAAGUUAUUGUGACACCUAAAUCUCUAUAUUCACAUAAAUUACUGAACUCUCUUUACAGUAGCUGAUUAAAAGCUUUACUAUGCUUUUUAAAUAAAGCUUAAGGUGUAAAUUUUUAUCCUUUUGUAACAAAUCCUAACACCUUUUUUCUAGACCCAGGCCAUUCCACAUGUUG